GGUAAAUGUUAUAAAUUUGCUUCUUUGAACUUGACAUCCAAUAAACUAGUCAGAGAAAUUAUUUAUAGUAAACAGUUUGUUUUGAUAUUACACAUAAGGUUCAUUGGUUUGCCGAUACAUUAAACAAUAAUGCUGACAACUCCUCAAGCAAUUACCAGAGGGGAAAUUGCAAUGGGGCUCCUAACAGUGUGAAACCCAUUCUCUUCUGUCCAAACAAGGGAACCAAACUGGACACUCAUUUUCUUGUCCCCUUUGUACUUUAUAGUAAGACUAUAGCUUUGCUUUUCAUAUAUUUUACCAAACACCAAGGUCGUUGGUGAGAUGGUAAUUAUCGAACCCUUUGGUGCAGUGACCUUAGCGUUAUAAGUUGCCGCAUUUUCUCCCACAUUUGUUACUGUCCUCUGAAACUUCUGGACCAACACUGAUCUUGUUUUGUUAUCAUACAAAGCGAUAAAGGAUGGGUAAUUGAGAUCAGGAGAUGGGUUUGAACAAUUGUAACUGUUUGAUCUUGUAAUAGCCAAAAUUUGAUUUUUUGUGUAAUUCAUGGAGCAUAGGAGAUUUACGUAGUCUUGUGGGGUGGCAUCAUAAAUCAGACCUGGGUCCAGUGCUCGAUUAGGAUCAAUUUGGCCAGCUCCCAUAGCUAAAGGAGACCCGUAUGCGAACUUUUCAGCACCGUUGUCUAUGAUUGGAUUUUCAGUGUUAUCUAAUGGGUUUGCAGUGGUCAUCAUGGCAGACCGAAUUGCUGCAGGACUCCAUUCAGGGUGAGCACCUUUCAGGAGCGCAGCCACGCCAGAAGCAUGAGGACAAGCCAUCGAUGUGCCAGAGACCAUAUUGAAAUCACUAGACAAGUAUAUGUUCAACCCAAUUUGAGCUGAAUAGCCAUUUGGAACCCAAGAUGCCAAAACUAAAGAACCAGGUGCCAUUAUAUCCGGCUUCAAAAUGUAAGGAUAGCUCGGUGAGGGUCCUCUCGAAGUGUAAGAAGCUGCAGCCGGCGCAGGCUUUGUGCCCAGAAUGGUUUGCUGGAACUUCAUGCUAGCGGAAGGAUUCUCAUCAGUUGUGGCAUAUUUAAUGACUGCCGGUGCAUCACGAGGGCUAAGCACAACGGAAGGACUAUAAACACCACCUAAUUCAAACAAAGUUGGAUCAUUUGAAGUGAAAAUAGCAGCAGCCACAUUUGGAGAGGCUGCAAUAGCAUUUAUUUGAUCAAAAACAACCCCAAUAUCGUCACACAAGAUGAUGCCAAACCGAGCUUGAGAUAACAGCUCAGUGGAGUUGCAUUUUGAAAAGGUCUUGUUGUAAACCAGCGGUAGAUUAUUAACCAACGCAUUAGCUGGGAACAAAGUCCAUCCAAUGAUGGUUUGGCCAUUGCCUAGAGUUAAAGUCCCAGCAAAUGAGCGAUCAAUAGUCCCUGCAGCAACAGUCAAUAGCCAUGGAAUACCAUUAUGCAAGGUCCCAAGAUCUGGCCCUUCAUUUCCUGCUGAAGAUGAGACUACAACUCCCCUUUCCAUUGCUGCAAAUGAGGCUAUGGCAAUAGGAUCCUCAUAUAGUGGAACUUGAUCGAAGCCCAUGGAGAUAGAAAUCACAUCAACACCAUCAGCAACAGCUUGGUCCAUACCAGCAAGAACAUCAGAGGCAUAGCGACCCUCUCUCCACAGGACCUUAUACAUGGCUACUCUAGCUCGUGGUGCCAUACCUCUGGCUGUGCCUGUAGCAUAGCCAAAGAAUGUUGCAUCUUCAACAUAGUUCCCUGCAGCUGUGGAGGAAGUGUGGGUCCCGUGCCCACCAAUGUCCCUUGGAGAGUUCAUUACAAUUUUAAUCCCAGGAUUAGCAGCUAAAACACCUUUGUUGAAAUAUCUAGCUCCAAUCAGCUUUGAAUUGCACAUGGAGGAAUUGAACUGUUCUCCUUCUUCACAAAUUCCCUUCCAUCUGGAAGGUACUGCAGUCAUACCAUCAUCUCUGUAGCUCUUGCUCUCCGGCCAGACACCACUGUCGAUGACUCCAAUAAUAAUAUCUUCACCGAAUUUGGAAGCAGGCCAUAGGCCGGUGAAUGGAUUGAGGGAAAGAAAUUGGUAAGUGUGGGUGGUGUCCACUGUGGCCAUCUUGUCUGUGUAAGCAGAAACAAAACCCGGGGAAUUUCUAAGAGUUUGAAGUUGAGUAGAAGAUAAAACAGCAGCAAAACCAUGAGCAACGUUAUCAUAAGUGUAGACAAAUGAUGGUGGGAGAUUUAUAUGAUCAUCGUGUGAUGAGGAGACGUGAUUGUUUUUGGUAGAUUCGAGGGAAUCACAUGUUGAGGAGUACCAAUCUUGAUGGGUACUGAAGGUUUUGGGCAUCAGAGACUUGUCCAUAUGAACAAUAUAUGUGGCCCUGUCUACUGAAGUUGAGGUUGCAGCAUGAGUGCCGAAGAAAAAAUGGCUGGCAAGAAAGACCAGGAAAAGGGGAAGCAUCUUCAUUUCUUUUUUGGCUAUCUCUGAAGAAUUUGCUUUGUUGCUUGUAUUGCCAUCUCAUCAUCCGUCGAAAUAUAUAUAUAUAUAUAUAAUGAUUCCUAUGGGACACUGUCGAAGUUUGAGAAGUCAAAGGUGACGUAACCUGUCAUCAAGUUUUGGUAUGUCUAAGGGAUCGAAU
This 2622-nucleotide unclassified non-coding RNA is filed under the name Hevea brasiliensis (rubber tree). Lineage: Eukaryota; Viridiplantae; Streptophyta; Magnoliopsida; Malpighiales; Euphorbiaceae. The record is from RNAcentral.